UUCUCUAUAUCCCUGCUUCUACACUUCUCUGUUCUUCCAUUCAUACGUUAAAAAUGUUCUGUUGUAUUAUGUAUUAUAAAUUUAACCAACAUCCCUCUUAAAAUAGUAUUUGUAACUCAUGGUGCUUAAAUUAUUCGUAUACAACGUUUCAUGUAUAUAAUUUGCACGGUAUACAUGUGUAUGUAUAUAUGCCUCGUAACACCGAUAUUAAGGACCUUACUUGGGGCAUGUGAUUAUUUCUUAGAAGUUUUAACCCACAAUCUAUCCCAGCGAUGGAUACUGAUUAGUAUUUAAUGGACGUAAAAAGGAUCUUGGCCCUCAGUUCAACUGUGUACAUUCGAAUUCGCAGCUUGUUAACGGCGUUUCUAAUCUCGGACAAUAUAUCAAAAAAAUUUGACUUGCCAUUUAUUUCUGGACCAAUGACUCUCAGCUGAAUAAAUCGUCAUAAAUUUCCUCUAAUGCUCCCAGAAAAAGAUGACCUAUUAUUUCGAGGUAUCUUCACCCUCGUCAACCUUAUCGGCUACAUCUUUGCCGGACUCUGCGUAGGUCUCGCGACAUAUAAAUGUUGCCAAAGUAUUCGAAAAAGUAGGGGAAUUAUGUGCAAGACAUCUUUUCCGGACGGGGGAGAAACUACACUAAAUCGACAAUCCCAAAACGAAAGAAACAUCGCAAAUCCGACAGGUAUUGGACAAAAUGUAAAUAGCGAAAGUGUCCAAAUUAGCUCGAACUUUGGAGGGCGAGAUGAUUAUCCUCCACCUGCAUACACACAGUGAAACCGUUAAGGUGCAUGUAAAAACUAUUUAAAAGGUGCUAGUGGUGCUGGAGAUUUAAGUAUAUGUAAACACGAAGAAUAUAUGCGACUUGAUUGUUUGUAUUAUUUAUUAGGUGGUAUUUAGGGUGUUAAGUAUUCCUUCGUACCCUAAACAGUAUUAUAUAUGCCGUAAAAUUGGAUAUGAUAGUUACGAGAUCUUGUAAGCGUCGUACAUUUAAAUGUCACACUCAGAAAAUCUCGUUACCAAAUAUUGGCUUACGAUUUUUAUGAAGAUUAACCCCUCGUUUUUCUCCGGAAACUAUGUAUUCCACGAUACUAAGGAUACGAAGAAAAUUGUGAAUACCCUCAUUGAUAUCGUAAAUCUGUAACUCUUCCCCGGUUAAAGAACUUGUUGAUAUAAAAAAUGUAUUCACAUUUAUUUACGAGUCACAUAAAUAUGUAAAAGUAUAAGUUUGAAAAAUACAAGUGACAAUCCAAAACUUA
Long non-coding RNA from Folsomia candida, 1255 nucleotides. RefSeq lists it as uncharacterized. NCBI's taxonomy places the organism in Eukaryota, Metazoa, Arthropoda, Collembola, Entomobryomorpha, Isotomidae. The record is from RefSeq and is a predicted model, not a curated record. The transcript is spliced from 3 exons.